Molecule: ribosomal RNA, 600 nt
Filed under: uncultured bacterium
Lineage: Bacteria
Description: bacterial SSU rRNA
Rfam family: Bacterial small subunit ribosomal RNA
Source: RNAcentral
CCUACGGGAGGCAGCAGUGGGGAAUAUUGGACAAUGGGCGAAAGCCUGAUCCAGCAAUGCCGCGUGAGUGAUGAAGGCCUUAGGGUUGUAAAGCUCUUUUACCAGGGAUGAUAAUGACAGUACCUGGAGAAUAAGCUCCGGCUAACUCCGUGCCAGCAGCCGCGGUAAUACGGAGGGAGCUAGCGUUGUUCGGAAUUACUGGGCGUAAAGCGUACGUAGGCGGUUAUUCAAGUCAGAGGUGAAAGCCUGGAGCUCAACUCCAGAACUGCCUUUGAAACUAGAUAGCUAGAAUCUUGGAGAGGUGAGUGGAAUUCCGAGUGUAGAGGUGAAAUUCGUAGAUAUUCGGAAGAACACCAGUGGCGAAGGCGACUCACUGGACAAGUAUUGACGCUGAGGUACGAAAGCGUGGGGAGCAAACAGGAUUAGAUACCCUGGUAGUCCACGCCGUAAACGAUGAUAACUAGCUGUUCGGGCUCUACGAGCUUGAGUGGCGCAGCUAACGCAUUAAGUUAUCCGCCUGGGGGAGGUACGGUCGCGAGAAUUAAACUUAAAGUAAGUAGUAGACGNGAGAGAGCGACGACGACGACGACGGAGGAGGAG